Molecule: long non-coding RNA, 545 nt
Organism: Mus musculus (house mouse)
Lineage: Eukaryota; Metazoa; Chordata; Mammalia; Rodentia; Muridae
Product: predicted gene, 52250
Exons: 3
Source: RefSeq, a predicted model, not a curated record
GCAGAAUGCUAAGGGGAUGCAGACAGAGCUGGCUAGAUUCACCGAGGAGCUGGAAUGGUGGUGUCUGAGCUGAAGUUUACAGCAGCCUCCUUCAACAGAGACAAGCACGUGGCUGGAGUGAACAUGCACACAGCUGUGCAUCGUGAAUCUAGGGCUUCCUAUUCUAUUCCCAUCUAUUCCCCCAAACAACCCACGGAGAUCAAGAGGAUACCUCACAGGUACAGAGAACUGUUCCCAAAUUACUCAUAACCCGAGUCUCUCAUAAGUGGGACACUAUCCCACCCAUCAAGAUGUUAACCAACCACUCACAGUGGUAAUGGAGGUCAGUCCUUGCCAACCACAUGGUCCUCCCUGGUUUGUAUCCAUUGUCUUGAACACUAAGUUGGAAAUUGUUUCUCAAUUGUUUAGCCUCAAAUGUAAGACAAGUCCCCCCGCCACACACACACACUUUGCCUGGGAAGUAAAUGAAAUUACACAUUGUUCUCAGAAAUGCAAUUUUUAUCACACUGUUUCCACAUAUUAAAAUCCUUGCUUUCCCUUUAAAU